CUUUAACACUGAGGCGUGACGACGAGGCACUACGGUGCUGAAGCAACAAAUGCCCUGCUUCCAGGAAAAGCCUCUAAGCAUCAGGUAACAUCAAAUCGUACCCCAAACCGACACAGGUGGUCAGGUAGAGAAUACCAAGGCGCUUGAGAGAACUCGGGUGAAGGAACUAGGCAAAAUGGUGCCGUAACUUCGGGAGAAGGCACGCUGACACGUAGGUGAAGUGAUUUACUCAUGGAGCUGAAGUCAGUCGAAGAUACCAGCUGGCUGCAACUGUUUAUUAAAAACACAGCACUGUGCAAACACGAAAGUGGACGUAUACGGUGUGACGCCUGCCCGGUGCCGGAAGGUUAAUUGAUGGGGUCAGCGCAAGCGAAGCUCCUGAUCGAAGCCCCGGUAAACGGCGGCCGUAACUAUAACGGUCCUAAGGUAGCGAAAUUCCUUGUCGGGUAAGUUCCGACCUGCACGAAUGGCGUAAUGAUGGCCAGGCUGUCUCCACCCGAGACUCAGUGAAAUUGAACUCGCUGUGAAGAUGCAGUGUACCCGCGGCAAGACGGAAAGACCCCGUGAACCUUUACUAUAGCUUGACACUGAACAUUGAGCCUUGAUGUGUAGGAUAGGUGGGAGGCUUUGAAGCGUGGACGCCAGUCUGCGUGGAGCCGACCUUGAAAUACCACCCUUUAAUGUUUGAUGUUCUAACGUGGACCCGUGAUCCGGGUUGCGGACAGUGUCUGGUGGGUAGUUUGACUGGGGCGGUCUCCUCCUAAAGAGUAACGGAGGAGCACGAAGGUUGGCUAAUCCUGGUCGGACAUCAGGAGGUUAGUGCAAUGGCAUAAGCCAGCUUGACUGCGAGCGUGACGGCGCGAGCAGGUGCGAAAGCAGGUCAUAGUGAUCCGGUGGUUCUGAAUGGAAGGGCCAUCGCUCAACGGAUAAAAGGUACUCCGGGGAUAACAGGCUGAUACCGCCCAAGAGUUCAUAUCGACGGCGGUGUUUGGCACCUCGAUGUCGGCUCAUCACAUCCUGGGGCUGAAGUAGGUCCCAAGGGUAUGGCUGUUCGCCAUUUAAAGUGGUACGCGAGCUGGGUUUAGAACGUCGUGAGACAGUUCGGUCCCUAUCUGCCGUGGGCGCUGGAGAACUGAGGGGGGCUGCUCCUAGUACGAGAGGACCGGAGUGGACGCAUCACUGGUGUUCGGGUUGUCAUGCCAAUGGCACUGCCCGGUAGCUAAAUGCGGAAGAGAUAAGUGCUGAAAGCAUCUAAGCACGAAACUUGCCCCGAG
This 1274-nucleotide ribosomal RNA is filed under the name Salmonella enterica subsp. enterica. Its description in RNAcentral is "partial 23S ribosomal RNA". It matches the Rfam family "Bacterial large subunit ribosomal RNA", at positions 1548 to 2803 of the family's 2925-position model. Lineage: Bacteria; Pseudomonadati; Pseudomonadota; Gammaproteobacteria; Enterobacterales; Enterobacteriaceae. The record is from RNAcentral.